This 798-nucleotide long non-coding RNA is filed under the name Rattus norvegicus (Norway rat). RNAcentral's name for it is "long non-coding RNA NONRATT001628". The record is from RNAcentral. Lineage: Eukaryota; Metazoa; Chordata; Mammalia; Rodentia; Muridae.
UUCGUCUUGACUCCGAUUGAAGUUGCCAUUGAAGACAUGAAGAAGAAGACCUUGCAGUUAGCGGUGGCCACUCACCAGGAGCCCCCUGACGCGAAGAUGCUCCAGAUGGUACUGCAAGGCUCUGUGGGAGCCACCGUGAAUCAGGUAGGUGGGGCUCACGGAUGGCAGCUUGGCUGGGGAUUGUGUUUCUGCUCAUGUGGUCCACGCUCUUCUUAGGAGUUGAUGAGGAACCAGUCCACGUGCAGUCGUCCUUUAAAAUAAUUCUAGAAAGGAGUAGACUGUACUUCAGGAAUACUAUUUUCUCAGAGUCUCCAAUUUGGGACCAGAUCUGGCAAUAUAACCCAGGACCAGAGUCCUAUAGCAGAGAGCUGACUUGAGUCCAAGAUAGGUAGAGCUCUAUGCAGACCUUUGGACUAAUUCUAAGAAUGUGUAUAUGGAUGAAAAGAGGGCAUCUGUCUCCUUGGUUAGGUAGCAGAUAUUCCCAACAUAGCAAGUGCCUUGCCAGCAGGACUGAUCUGGGACUGGGUUCUCAGGUCACUUUGACAAGAUUACUGUUUUCAUUCCUGUUAUAACCAUCCCGCCCGAGUGGAAUGUUACUCAGAACUAGCCUGUCUCUGAUGGAGACAUACAAGCCCAGUUAGUACUUUCUGUCUAGUGACCCCCUUUUGAUGUUGGGUCUUCAUGCUGCCACACCAAAAACUCAGUAGCCAUUGUUCUUCCCAGCUAACACCUUCUCCAUCUGAGGCUCCCCUGCAGAAAUUGUAAGUCUGUUCAACUCAGGGAGAUCAGAGGUAGUAA